RNAcentral lists this long non-coding RNA (1566 nucleotides) under Marmota monax (woodchuck). Lineage: Eukaryota; Metazoa; Chordata; Mammalia; Rodentia; Sciuridae. The record is from RNAcentral.
CUUGAACCAUGUCCCACCAAAAGAUGUACUGACAUUCUAACCCCCAAUGCCCAGGAUGUGACCUUAUUUGAAAAUAAAGUCGUUGAAAUCAAGUUAUAAUUAAAGACAGGAGUCAUCCUGGAAUAGGAUAGGCCCUUCGUCCAAUGUGACUGUUGUUCUUAUAAGAAGAGGGAAAUUUGGACACAGAGUGAACAUCAUGAGAAGACACAGAUAACAGAAGACAUGAAGACUGGCAGAAGUCAGAGUGACGCAUCUGCAAGCCAAGAAACACCAAGAAUUGCUGUCACUGAAGCGAGGAGAGCGACGGGCAGCGGGCUCUCCUCAGAGCUCCUGGAUGCAGUCCUGCUGACGUUUUGAUUUCAGGCGUCUAACGCCAGAAUUCUGACAGGAUAAAUCUAUUCUCUAGACUGAAUCUCUGUUGUUAGUGAUAUUUCAUUACCACCGCCCUUGCAAACCAACACAAGAUAGGAAAAGGAUAUUUCUAUAUUUGAGAAGACUUUUAGACAUCCUUGUGGAGAUAUCAAGUAGCAAUUUGAUCUGAGUCUAGAAUAAGGGUAUAUAAACGAAUGCUUCACACAUUCUUGAGGUACUUUAAAUGAUUUUUUAAAUAUUAUGUAUAAAGUGGUGGCCUAAGAGGGGAAUAUAAUACAUAAACGAUGGACGGACAUUCCAUGAAAUAUUAUGCCACCUCAAAAAAGAAUCAUUAUAAAGCCAGUGGUGCCACUAUAUAAUAACUAGGUAAAGGAUGAGGAGCAGGCACCAAACCACCUGGGUUCCAAUCACAGUUCCAACUCUCCCGAAUGGGCUGAGCUAAGAUGCAGGUCACUAUCCCGCAGGCUGUGUUUGUUCACUAUAUUUGCAGUGGAAGGGUAAAUGGACGCAAGGCUGAGUUGAAAAAGUGCUGAGAAUAACAGAACAAAGAAGUGAUGAGAGCUGGAAUCGAAUUCAGCAAGGAAAACUUCCUGGAAUUGCUGACGUUUGCAAACUAAGUGCCCGGCCUGCUUGCCAUGGGCCUGACAUCACGGUAACAUCAAAGGGCAGACUCCGUCAAGAGUAAAGAAGAGUCGGAACUAGAAGCCAGACAGUUUGACACCAGCUUCUUAUCUGUUACAGUUAUUGCUAGGGGCAACCACUGGCUUUAUAGUGGUUCUUGCAAGAGGUAGAAGAAUACUUCCAUCAUAUAUGUGAAGGCUCCAAUAAGCGCUCUCUGUGAACACACCUGUGCCGGAGCUCUGGCUACCCACAGCCUUCUGAUGGCUUAUCCACAUUCCUCCAUCCCACCUUGAGCCCUGCAGGACAGGGGUCAUCCUAACCCCAAGGCCUGGCACAAGGUAGUUAUAAAUUACAGUCAGCAGCAUCUCAUAGAAUCAGAAUGUGGUUGUCAUCCAAGACUUUGCAACAAAGGCACAUCGAUAUUAAGUCCCUCAACUUGACAACAUGAGAAUCAGAAGAUGGUAGUGGGAGAAGAUGACCUCUGAGAAAUGCAAAUCAAAACUACUCUGGGCUGGGGAUGUGGCUCAAGUGGUAACACGCUUACCUGGUAUGCUCAGGGCGCUGGGUUCGAUC